This 494-nucleotide ribosomal RNA is filed under the name uncultured bacterium. RNAcentral's name for it is "bacterial SSU rRNA". It matches the Rfam family "Bacterial small subunit ribosomal RNA", at positions 38 to 507 of the family's 1533-position model. The record is from RNAcentral.
GGCGGCGUGCCUAACACAUGCAAGUCGUACGAGAAAGCCGGCUUCGGCUGGUGAGUAAAGUGGCGCACGGGUGAGUAACGCGUGGAUAAUCUGCCCUUAAGUGUGGAAUAACGUACCGAAAGGUGCGCUAAUACCGCAUAAUGGCCUGGCAACACAAGUUGUCCGGCCAAAGAAGGCCUCUGUUUACAAGCUUUCGCUUCAGGAUGAGUCCGCGUACCAUUAGCUUGUUGGUGGGGUAAUGGCCUACCAAGGCUGCGAUGGUUAGCUGGUCUGAGAGGAUGAUCAGCCACACUGGAACUGAGACACGGUCCAGACUCCUACGGGAGGCAGCAGUGAGGAAUAUUGCGCAAUGGGGGCAACCCUGACGCAGCAACGCCGCGUGAGUGAGGAAGGUUUUCGGACUGUAAAGCUCUGUCGAGCGGGAAGAAGUGUACCAUGGCUAAUAUCCAUGAUAUUUGACGGUACCGCUAGAGGAAGCACCGGCUAACUCCGUG